CUCCUGCUUGCUUAAAUUCUUAUCAAGGAGUGCAAUAAGAUCGAAGGUCAUGUCCAGCAGUGCAAGAGAUUGGUCCUGCAAUACAUUCCCCUUAUCAUGGUCAAUGGCGAGAAGUUCCUUGAGAAGAAUAAUGAUGUGUGCGUACAAGCGUGUAUGAAUGUAACUGUGUGGAUGUAAUAAAAGAAUAGAAAAAAUUGAUUUCUUUUUUUUUGUA
Long non-coding RNA from Panicum virgatum (switchgrass), 214 nucleotides. RefSeq lists it as uncharacterized. The transcript has 2 exons. Lineage: Eukaryota; Viridiplantae; Streptophyta; Magnoliopsida; Poales; Poaceae. The record is from RefSeq and is a predicted model, not a curated record.